AGAUUGAACGCUAGCGGGAUGCUUUACACAUGCAAGUCGAACGGCAGCGCGGACUUCGGUCUGGCGGCGAGUGGCGAACGGGUGAGUAAUAUAUCGGAACGUGCCCAGUAGCGGGGGAUAACUACGCGAAAGCGUGGCUAAUACCGCAUACGCCCUACGGGGGAAAGGGGGGAUCGGCAAGACCUCUCACUAUUGGAGCGGCCGAUAUCAGAUUAGCUAGUUGGUGAGGUAAAGGCUCACCAAGGCGACGAUCUGUAGCUGGUUUGAGAGGACGACCAGCCACACUGGGACUGAGACACGGCCCAGACUCCUACGGGAGCAGCAGGUGGGAAUUUGGACAAGUAGGGGAAACCUGGAUCCAGCCAUCCCGCGUGUGCGAUGGAAGGUCCGUUCGGGUU
This 398-nucleotide ribosomal RNA is filed under the name uncultured soil bacterium. Its description in RNAcentral is "bacterial SSU rRNA". It matches the Rfam family "Bacterial small subunit ribosomal RNA", at positions 26 to 424 of the family's 1533-position model. The record is from RNAcentral.